UAUAUGGAGGUUCCCAGGCUAGGGAUCUAAUCGGAGCUGUGGCCACCAGCCUACGCCAGAGCCACAGCAACACGGGAUCUGAACUGCAUGUGCAACCUACACCACAGUUCAUGGCACCACCAGAUCCUUAACCCACUGAGUGAGGCCAGGGAUUGAACCCGUGUCCUCAUGGAUGCUAGCUGGGUUCGUGAACCACUGAGCCACGACGGGAACUCCAUAUGUGGUCUUUUGUAAUUGACUCAGCAUUUUGUUUUCAACGUUCUUCCAUGUUACAGCAUAUAUCAAUAUUUCAUUUUUUUUAAAUUGCAGAAUGGUUUUCCAUUGACUGAAUAUUUUAUUUAUCUACCCAUCAAUUGAUGGAUAUUUGGGUUAUUUCACUUUUUUUGGCUAUUAUGAAUAAUGCUGUAAGGAACAUUCAAGUAUAAGUUUUUGUAUGGACAUAUAUUUUCACUUUUUGGGGGUGUAUACCUUGGAGUGGUAUUGCCAUGUCAUAUGGUAAGGUAACUCUAUGUUAAUCUUUGAGGAACUGCUAGACUUUUUUCCAUAGUGGCCGCACCAUUUAUAUUCUUAUCUGUGCUUUAUGAGGGUUCUAGUUUCAAUUUAACUUUAAACAGUGUCAUCAAUCAGAUAAAUACUACUUGCUUUGUCUAACCCAGAGAUUCUUCUAGGUGCUGGGAAUACAGCACUGAACAUGUCUGACGAGUAUGCUACCCUCAAAGACCAUACACUUUAGUACAGAGAGACAGACAAAAAAAUAAGUCAAUAACUAAGAAUAAUUUCAGAGCCUGACAAGUGUUAUGAAUGUCUGGGAAAAUUUCUGUGAGAAAAGAAACAGAUGAACUGAGACUCAGAAAAGUAGCUGGAGAGAGAGUAAGGGAAGCAAAAACUCCAUUAAGUGUCACGUUUCAAUAAGUUUUUAAGGGGAGAAUGCUGUUGUGAUAGUGGCUAAGACUUAAAAUGGACCAGUUUUUACUUUUUUCGUGACCUAUUACAUCCUUUGCCUGCUUUUCUGUUAGGCUUGUUUUAUUGAUUUGUAGUAGUUCUGUAUAUUUUGGAUUCUAAUUCAAUAAAACAACGACAAAAGGCAUGGAAAGACAAUUAGAAAAAGCAGUACAAAUAACUCUUAAACAUGCAAACAAAAUUGCCCACCCUUACUCAAGAUAAAAAUAACUAUGGUUUAGCAAGUGUUUACUGUGUGCCAGGCACAAUUCUAGGUGCUUCAAAUGUAUUAACUCACCUGAUUUUCAUAAGAACAUUUGAAAUUGGACUACUAUUGCCCCACCCGACUUAUGAGGAAGUAGAGGCACAGAAGUUAAGUUACUUGCCCAUCGUUGCACAGUGAAUGCGUAACCAAAUGAGUGGCAGAGCCAGGAGAUAUAGCCCCAGAACCCACACGCUUAACCACUCCAUUCUACUGAAUAAGAGUCAGAACAAAGUAAAACUUCACGGAACCACCUUUUUAAAAAUCUAUCAGAUUGGCAGAGAUCAAAAAGUUUGGUAACAGCGAUGAAAGGGGUGUAGAGACAGGCAGUCUUACAAAUUGCUGUUGGAAAUAUAAAUUGUUAUAACCUUCUUUGGCAACAUCUAUCAAAAUUUUGGUAAUGUACAUUAUGACUGUAGCUAACACUGCUGUAUGAUAUGUAGGAAAGUUGUCAAGAGAGUAUAUACUAUGAGUUUUCAUCAUGAGAAGAAAAUUUUUUCCUUUUAUCUUUUUAUUGGAUCGAUAUGAGAAGAUGGUUAUUAGCUUGAAUCUAUUGUAGUAAUCACUUUACUAGAUAUGUAAAUUAAACCAUCAUGCUGUAUACCUUAAACUUAUACAGUGAUAUAUUUCCCAAUAACACUGGGAAAAUAUAACUAGAAAAAAUAAAUAAAUGACAAAAGAAAUUUUUUAAUCCUUUGACCCAGCAGUUACAAUUCUUAGAAUUAAGCUUUUAUAUAUAUUUGCAUGUAAAAAUUUUUUAUGUAUUUGAAAAUAAUUAUAGCAUUUAUUAUAAGCUUGGAAAUAAUCUAAAUGUUCAUUAGUAGGGAACUGGUUGAAUGAAGUAUGUUACCUCAUUCAAUAUAAUACUAUACGACCCAUAAAAGAGAAUGAUGAAGCUCUUUAUGCCCUAAUAUAGAACUAGUUUCCAGAGUAUGUUUUUUUCUUUUUUCUUUUUGUCUUUUGUCUUUUUAGGGCUGCACCCACGGCAUAUAGAGGUUCCCAGGCUAGGGGUCAAAUGGGAGCUGUAGCUGCUGGCCUACACCACAGCCACAGACAGCAAUGCCGGAUCCGAGCCACGUCUGCAACCUCCACCACAGCUCAUGGGAAUGCCAGAUCCUUGACCCACUGAGUGAGGCCAGGGAUCAAACCCGCAACCUCGUGGUUACUAGUCGGAUUCAUUUCUGCUGUGCUGCAAUGGGAACUCCGUAUAUGUAUUAACAAAGGGAAAAACAAUCGAAAUAUGUAUUAAUUUUGUGUGUGUAUUUCUAAUAGUUUGUGUAUAUGUGUAUAUACACCUAUAUAUGUAAAAUAUCUCCAGGCAUACAUAAGAAACAGAGGAAAUUAUAUGCCUUUGGAGAAGAACAAGGUGUUUGCGUUCAAGAAUAGUAAAACAACUUUAGGAGUUCCCUUGUGGUAUAGCAGGUUAAGGAUCUAGCAUUGUCUCUGCUGUGGUGUGGGUUCGAUCUCUAGCCUGGGAACUUUUGCAUGCUGUGUGUGUGGACAGAAAAACACUUUAAAAUGUACUUUUUGUAUUUUGGACUGUACGACCUUACAUUAAAAAUGUUAAAAUGAAAAUAUGCUUAAAAAGAAAUCUAGAUGGUAUUAAUUAAGAUUAAUAAGGGGUCAUUUGAACUGGUUCUGCAGUUGGUUUUUCAGAAUAGUGAAGGUCUCAAGAAUGUUCAAGGUGUUUGUUUUGUUAAGUUUUCCCAAAAGGUAGCAGCUAAAGAAUGCAUUCUUGGUUGGUGCCGCCCAGUUGCAAUGGUAGAUGGAAACAUUCCAAUAGCAGUGCCAAUGCCAUGUAUUUAGCACUCUGAGGAAGAACAGACUGUGCCAUCCUCUCUUUGUUUCUCUUCCCUUUAUCUUUCAAGAACACUGUAGAGAUAGUGUUUCUCUCACAGUUUUAAAGAAACGUUUGCAAUCCACAUAAACAAUUGCUACACUAAACUACAGCUUCUCAUUUGUAGUGCUUGUAUUAUAUCUCCUUAGUAUCAUCAGAAACUCCAGACAUACUUAGGUAAACAGAAGAUUUGGGCUGCAAAUGGGAAAUGAUAAGAGUAUAUACUUUGCAGGGAUAUGAAAAAUCUCUCAUCAAAUCACAUUCUUAGGAUAUAACCAAGUUAUCUACAUAAAUAUAAUUAAAUCUAUUGUUUGCUAGUGUUGUACCUUGCUGUUCUUUGUUCUUCGUGAGAUUAAAUUGGACUGUGCUAAUGUCAAGUGACAAGAAUACAUAUACAUAACACUAGUUCUUUGUACCAAAGCACGAAAUAUUUGGAGAGAACAGAGGCCAGGAGUGGUGGCUGGCACUGUAUCAUCUAGACUGGAAAUGGAUGGUACUAAUCUAAGAAGGUUUUAUAAGAUGAAGAGAAUAAAGUAGAAUUUUGAAGGUGGAAAGGAAAUGGAUCAUUUUUGGGAGACUGUUAAUAGACUUUUCAGGGAAGUCACAUGUAAAGGAUGACAAAUUUUUGCCAAAGUAGAAGAAAAGUGAAAGUAAUAAGGUAAGAUGGAGGUUGUGGGGGGAGCUUUACACUCAUGAGAGAGGAAUCAUUCAGAAUAUGGGUUUUAGAGUCAUACAUGGAUUUGAGUCCCAGUUUUACUACUUCUCAGGUAGGUUGUCUUGGAGAAGUGACUUAAUGACUUUUCUGUGUUGCUUUUUAAAUUUCCAAAAUGGAGAUAAUUAUAGUGCUUAACCUCAGGCAAUAGUUGUGCGGAUAAAAUGAAAUUAGGCAUGAACACAUAUAGCCAAGUGCCUUGUACAUAGUAGGUGCUCAGUAGAUAUACAUUACUGCUCUUAAUGUUUGAGUUGAGUUGAGAACCAAUUGAAUCUUCUAGGUCUUGGAGUAUCAAAAAGCAAUAUGAUAUAUAAAGAGAGGUGUACUCAGAAAAUCUGUCACUUGUACAAGUCUAUAGGUUGAGUAAGUAAUAUCCAUUUAGUGGCAAUUCAAUUAAAAUAAGAUUCAAAAGAGUGAGGAAGGAUAAGGAAAUAACUUUUUAAUACAAAUAUUUUGUCUUUCCUUUCACUACCCCCACCAUGUAACUAACUUCGCGUUUACCUUGAGAGAGAUUGAAUGUGAUAAUGAGAGAAUACAUAGGAGCUCUUGAGAUAUAAGAAAUACUCAAGAAAUGCUAAUUUUACUCAUAUAAUUCUUUAUCUGCCCUUGCCAAAGGAUGACAUGGGAAAUAACUCUUCAGAAACAAGAUUCUAGAAAGUAAAGGAUAAAUGGGAAAGAUUGAGGGUAGAGGCAAACACUGAUUACCAGAUAGUUAGGUUGUAAACUCCAGUUGUGUUGAAUGAGCAGUUAUAACUUCUUAUACAAUCAAAGUGAACAAGAUUUAACGUGAGCAGACUAGAGAGAAAAGUCAAAGAUUUAUGGGGAGUUUAAAAACUUGGACACCGGAGAACAUAUCGGUCUGGCUGACUGAUAGGAGUGUUAGGAAAGAUGUUUUGGAUGUGUUUAGUUUUGGAUGACUGUAUAACAUCUAAGUAUAUGCCUUGUGUGUAUAUAUUUCUUGUGUAACAAAAAAUGAAAGUCUGAGGAUAGGAUAGGAUAAGAGAAAGGGAUAAUGUUCGCCAAUGAUUCUUAAAUAUUCCAAGACUGUAUUUCUAUCUUCCUGUUUAUAGAAUUGAGAUAAUAAACUCCUGACAUCAAAUACAUUUAUACUCCAUUUGAAGUAUUUUUCUGGCUUAAAAUUCUUAGUAUAAAGCAAAAGCUUUAGUAGACGUGUGCAGUGUUCUGUUAUCUGUCAAACUUGUGAUUCCCAUUUCUGGGCUACAGGGAGCACUUUGGAUGGUGGGCCAUUCAGAUGCCUUUUUGUAAAUACGAGUAUUGACAGAGGGAUUGUUUUUUAUGCUUUUUGUGUUCAUAGACCUGUCCUUUGGCUUUUUAUCUUAAAUAGUAAAGAAGAUAGUGAAGAUAAAUAAUUGUGAUGUGUCUAUUAUUAUGCUGGUAUUUAAAAUAUCUUCCAGAAAAAUUUUUCUGUAGAUAGAAAUAAAGCAGGAAUUUUUCCAGGAUGGGGUUUUCUUUCGAAGCACUGGAAAUGUAUUCAUUUUGUUUUAGAUGUUACUUAAAAUGCAGUUAUUCAGUAGUAUUCUUUUGAUCAUAUGCAAAUAAUACUGUCCUCCAUAUGCAGGCUUUUUAGCAAUUAUUUGUUAGAGGCAAUGUGUAACAAUAGAUAGCAUCUUUUUUUCAAGUCUUUCCUGCUUGGCUUUUAUAUUAUUACUUACAUGUGCAUUAGGGACUUAUUAGUGACUCCUAGCACACAUUCUUCCAUCCCUUAGCUAUAGCAAAACCUACAAAUAAUUUUUUCUCCUUUCCUUUCAAAAAUUGGCUGUUUUUCUUUCCUAAGUCCUUGAUUUUCUUGGUGCAUUGACUAUAAUUUUAUAACCAUAGUGUAUUGUAUCUUUCUAUAUCAAGAAAAUUUUUAUUUGAAAAACAUUAGUUUUGGAGUUUUCCUGAUGGCUCAGUGGGUUAAGGAUAGGCAUUGUCACUGCUGUGGCUCAGGUCAUUGCUUUGGUAUGGGUUUGAUCCCUGGCCAGGAACCUCUGCAUGCUGUGAGCAUGGUCAAAAAAAAAAAAAGAGACAAUAUUAGUUUUAGGAGGUUCAUGGCACAGCAGGUUAAGGAUCCAGUGUUGUCUAAUACAGCAGCUUAGGCCACUGCUAUGGCACCAGUUCAAUCCCUGACCCAGGAACUUA
This 5892-nucleotide long non-coding RNA is filed under the name Sus scrofa (pig). RNAcentral describes it as "lncRNA (ENSSSCG00030073010.1)". Lineage: Eukaryota; Metazoa; Chordata; Mammalia; Artiodactyla; Suidae. The record is from RNAcentral.